AAUAGAUACCCGGGUAGUCCAUGCCGUAAACGUUGGGCGCUAGAUGUGGGGACCAUUCCACGGUUUCCGUGUCGCAGCUAACGCAUUAAGCGCCCCGCCUGGGGAGUACGGCCGCAAGGCUAAAACUCAAAGGAAUUGACGGGGGCCCGCACAAGCGGCGGAGCAUGCGGAUUAAUUCGAUGCAACGCGAAGAACCUUACCAAGGCUUGACAUAUACGAGAACGCUCUAGAAAUAGAGAACUCUUUGGACACUCGUAUACAGGUGGUGCAUGGUUGUCGUCAGCUCGUGUCGUGAGAUGUUGGGUUAAGUCCCGCAACGAGCGCAACCCUCGUUCUAUGUUGCCAGCGGUUCGGCCGGGAACUCAUAGGAGACUGCCGGGGUCAACUCGGAGGAAGGUGGGGAUGACGUCAAAUCAUCAUGCCCCUUAUGUCUUGGGCUUCACGCAUGCUACAAUGGCCGGUACAAAGGGCUGCAAUCCGUAAGGUGGAGCGAAUUCCAAAAAGCCGGUCUCAGUUCGGAUUGAGGU
This 527-nucleotide ribosomal RNA is filed under the name uncultured bacterium. RNAcentral describes it as "bacterial SSU rRNA". It matches the Rfam family "Bacterial small subunit ribosomal RNA", at positions 777 to 1304 of the family's 1533-position model. The record is from RNAcentral.